ACGGCUGCAAGGUGAAAACUCAAAUGAAUCAACAAAGGCCCGCACAAGUGGCAAAGCAUGUGGUUAAUUCGAUGUAA
Molecule: ribosomal RNA, 77 nt
Filed under: Sodalis-like symbiont of Philaenus spumarius
Lineage: Bacteria; Pseudomonadati; Pseudomonadota; Gammaproteobacteria; Enterobacterales; Bruguierivoracaceae
Description: partial 16S ribosomal RNA
Source: RNAcentral